GAUGAACGCUGGCGGCGUGCCUAAUACAUGCAAGUAGAACGCUGAAGGAGGAGCUUGCUCUUCUGGAUGAGUUGCGAACGGGUGAGUAACGCGUAGGUAACCUGCCUGGUAGCGGGGGAUAACUAUUGGAAACGAUAGCUAAUACCGCAUGACAACAGUUAUUGCAUGAUAACUGUUUAAAAGGGGCAACUGCUCCACUACCAGAUGGACCUGCGUUGUAUUAGCUGGUUGGUGAGGUAACGGCUCACCAAGGCGACGAUACAUAGCCGACCUGAGAGGGUGAUCGGCCACACUGGGACUGAGACACGGCCCAGACUCCUACGGGAGGCAGCAGUAGGGAAUCUUCGGCAAUGGACGGAAGUCUGACCGAGCAACGCCGCGUGAGUGAAGAAGGUUUUCGGAUCGUAAAGCUCUGUUGUAAGAGAAGAACGAGUGUGAGAGUGGAAAGUUCACACUGUGACGGUAUCUUACCAGAAAGGGACGGCUAACUACGUG
This 495-nucleotide ribosomal RNA is filed under the name uncultured bacterium. RNAcentral describes it as "partial 16S ribosomal RNA". It matches the Rfam family "Bacterial small subunit ribosomal RNA", at positions 28 to 507 of the family's 1533-position model. The record is from RNAcentral.